Molecule: ribosomal RNA, 1163 nt
Filed under: uncultured bacterium
Lineage: Bacteria
Description: bacterial SSU rRNA
Rfam family: Bacterial small subunit ribosomal RNA
Source: RNAcentral
ACUCUGCGUAUUUAACGAAUUCGCCCUUAGAGUUUGACCCUGGCUCAUGACGAACGCUGGCGGCGUGCCUAACACAUGCAAGUCGAGCGAUGAAAAUCGGAGCGUUCCCUUCGGGGAACAAUCCGAUUGGAUUAGCGGCGGACGGGUGAGUAACACGUGAGUAACCUGCCGUACACAUUGGGAUAGCCUCGGGAAACUGGGAUUAAUACCAAAUGAAACAUACAGAUAGCAUUAUCUAAAUGUCAAAGAUUUUAUCGGUGUACGAUGGACUCGCGUCUGAUUAGCUAGUUGGUAAGGUAAGAGCUUACCAAGGCGACGAUCAGUAUCUGGUUUGAGAGGACGAUCAGACACACUGGAACUGAGACACGGCCCAAACUCCUACGGGAGGCAGCAGUGGGGAAUAUUGCACAAUGGAGGGAACUCUGAUGCAGCGACGCCGCGUGAGCGAUGAAGGCUUUCGAGUCGUAAAGCUCUGUCGAAUGGGAAGAUAAUGACGGUACCAUUUGAGAAAGCCCCGGCUAACUACGUGCCAGCAGCCGCGGUAAUACGUAGGGGGCGAGCGUUGUCCGGAAUUAUUGGGCGUAAAGGGUUCGUAGGCGGCAAUGUAUGUCAGGUGUGAAAGACGGUGGCUCAACCAACGCAAGCAUCUGAAACUGCAUAGCUUGAGAAAAGGAGAGGUAAGUGGAAUUCCUAGUGUAGCGGUGAAAUGCGUAGAUAUUAGGAGGAAUACCAGUGGCGAAGGCGACUUACUGGACUUUAACUGACGCUGAUGAACGAAAGCGUGGGGAGCAAACAGGAUUAGAUACCCUGGUAGUCCACGCCGUAAACGAUGAGUGCUAGGUGUCGGGUGUCAAAGCUCGGUGCCGAAGUUAACACAUUAAGCACUCCGCCUGGGGAGUACGUGCGCAAGCAUGAAACUCAAAGGAAUUGACGGGGACCCGCACAAGCAGCGGAGCAUGUGGUUUAAUUCGAAGCAACGCGAAGAACCUUACCAGGACUUGACAUAUACGUGAAUACGUUAGAGAUAGCGUAGUCUUUUCGGAGACACGUAUACAGGUGGGGGCAUGGGUUGUCCUCAACUCCUGUCCUGAGAAGUUUGGGGUUAAAUCCCCCCACCGAGCGCCACCCCUUAUUCAUAAUUUGCCCCCCGGGGUAAUGCCCGG